RNAcentral lists this ribosomal RNA (497 nucleotides) under uncultured bacterium. RNAcentral's name for it is "partial 16S ribosomal RNA". It matches the Rfam family "Bacterial small subunit ribosomal RNA", at positions 28 to 507 of the family's 1533-position model. The record is from RNAcentral.
GAUGAACGCUGGCGGCGUGCCUAAUACAUGCAAGUCGAGCGAACAGACGAGGAGCUUGCUCCUCUGACGUUAGCGGCGGACGGGUGAGUAACACGUGGAUAACCUACCUAUAAGACUGGGAUAACUUCGGGAAACCGGAGCUAAUACCGGAUAAUAUAUUGAACCGCAUGGUUCAAUAGUGAAAGACGGUUUUGCUGUCACUUAUAGAUGGAACCGCGCCGCAUUAGCUAGUUGGUAAGGUAAUGGCUUACCAAGGCAACGAUGCGUAGCCGACCUGAGAGCGUGCUCGGCCACACUGGAACUGAGACACGGUCCAGACUCCUACGGGAGGCAGCAGUAGGGAAUCUUCCGCAAUGGGCGAAAGCCUGACGGGGCAACGCCGCGUGAGUGAUGAAGGUCUUCGGAUCGUAAAACUCUGUUAUUAGGGAAGAACAAAUGUGUACGUAACUAUGCACGUCUUGACGGUACCUAAUCAGAAAGCCACGGCUAACUACGUG